CAGUCGCCGCGGGAAUACGAAGGGUGCAAGCGUUACUCGGAAUUACUGGGCGUAAGGCGUGCGUAGGUGGUGGUUUAAGUCCGUUGUGAAAGCCCUGGGCUCAACCUGGGAAUUGCAGUGGAUGCUGGGUCACUAGAGUGUGGUAGAGGAUAGUGGAAUUUCCGGUGUAGCAGUGAAAUGCGUAGAGAUCGGAAGGAACAUCUGUGGCGAAGGCGACUAUCUGGGCCAACACUAACACUGAGGCACGAAAGCGUGGGGAGCAAACAGGAUUAGAUACCCCCGUAGUCCCUGUCUCUUAUAC
This 301-nucleotide ribosomal RNA is filed under the name uncultured bacterium. RNAcentral's name for it is "partial 16S ribosomal RNA". It matches the Rfam family "Bacterial small subunit ribosomal RNA", at positions 509 to 807 of the family's 1533-position model. The record is from RNAcentral.